Sulfurihydrogenibium azorense Az-Fu1 is the source of this 73-nucleotide transfer RNA. It matches the Rfam family "tRNA". Rfam says of the family: Transfer RNA (tRNA) molecules are approximately 80 nucleotides in length. Their secondary structure includes four short double-helical elements and three loops (D, anti-codon, and T loops). The record is from Rfam. Lineage: Bacteria; Pseudomonadati; Aquificota; Aquificia; Aquificales; Hydrogenothermaceae.
GCCCAGGUAGCUCAGUCGGCAGAGCACACCCUUGGUAAGGGUGAGGUCGCGGGUUCAAGUCCCGUCUUGGGCU